GACGAACGCUGGCGGCGUGCCUAACACAUGCAAGUCGAACGGGACCCGCAAGGGUUCAGUGGCGAACGGGUGCGUAACACGUGAAGAAUUUAUCCAACGGCGGGGGGAUAGCCGGCCCAACGGCCGGGUAAUACCGCGUACGACCCUCGGGGGGCAUCCCCUGAAGGUGAAAGCCGCAAGGCGCCGAUGGAGAACUUCGCGGCCUAUCAGCUAGUUGGUGAGGUCAUGGCUCACCAAGGCGACGACGGGAGCUGGUCCGAGAGGAUGACCAGCCACAUUGGGACUGAGACACGGCCCAGACUCCUACGGGAGGCAGCAGU
RNAcentral lists this ribosomal RNA (320 nucleotides) under uncultured bacterium. RNAcentral describes it as "bacterial SSU rRNA". It matches the Rfam family "Bacterial small subunit ribosomal RNA", at positions 28 to 355 of the family's 1533-position model. The record is from RNAcentral.